This 197-nucleotide ribosomal RNA is filed under the name uncultured bacterium. Its description in RNAcentral is "partial 16S ribosomal RNA". It matches the Rfam family "Bacterial small subunit ribosomal RNA", at positions 1303 to 1500 of the family's 1533-position model. The record is from RNAcentral.
GGCUGAAAUUCGCCUUCAUGAAGCCGGAAUUGCUAGUAAUGGCAGGUCAGCAUACUGCCGUGAAUACGUUCCCGGGCCCUUGUACACACCGCCCGUCACACCAUGAGAGUUGGAGAUACCCGAAGCCUGUGAGCUAACAAACGAGGCAGCAGUCGAAGGUAGAAUCAAUGAUUGGGGUGAAGUCGUAACAAGGUAGC